AACGAACGCUGGCGGCAGGCCUAACACAUGCAAGUCGAACGCCCUAGCAAUAGGGAGUGGCAGACGGGUGAGUAACACGUGGGAACCUUCCCUAUAGUACGGAAUAUACCAGGGAAACUUGGAGCAAUACCGUAUACGCCCGAGAGGGGAAAGAUUUAUCGCUAUAGGAUGGGCCCGCGUAGGAUUAGCUAGUUGGUGAGGUAAUGGCUCACCAAGGCGACGAUCCUUAGCUGGUUUGAGAGAACGACCAGCCACACUGGGACUGAGACACGGCCCAGACUCCUACGGGAGGCAGCAGUGGGGAAUAUUGGACAAUGGGCGGCAAGCCUGAUCCAGCCAUGCCGCGUGAGUGAUGAAGGCCUUAGGGUUGUAAAGCUCUUUUGUCCGGGGACGAUAAUGACGGUACCCGGAGAAUAAGUCCCGGCUAACUU
RNAcentral lists this ribosomal RNA (431 nucleotides) under uncultured bacterium. RNAcentral's name for it is "bacterial SSU rRNA". It matches the Rfam family "Bacterial small subunit ribosomal RNA", at positions 29 to 503 of the family's 1533-position model. The record is from RNAcentral.